GGCCAGUUAGCUCAGUCAGUUGAGCGUAGCGCUAACAACGCCAAGGUCGCAGGUUUGAUUCCCGUUUGGUCC
RNAcentral lists this transfer RNA (72 nucleotides) under Apaloderma vittatum (bar-tailed trogon). It matches the Rfam family "tRNA". From Rfam's summary of the family: Transfer RNA (tRNA) molecules are approximately 80 nucleotides in length. Lineage: Eukaryota; Metazoa; Chordata; Aves; Trogoniformes; Trogonidae. The record is from Rfam by way of RNAcentral.